RNAcentral lists this ribosomal RNA (379 nucleotides) under uncultured bacterium. RNAcentral's name for it is "partial 16S ribosomal RNA". It matches the Rfam family "Bacterial small subunit ribosomal RNA", at positions 338 to 734 of the family's 1533-position model. The record is from RNAcentral.
CCUACGGGUGGCAGCAGUGGGGAAUAUUGCACAAUGGGCGAAACCCUGAUGCAGCGACGCCGCGUGAGUGAAGAAGUAUUUCGGUAUGUAAAGCUCUAUCAGCAGGGAAGAAAAUGACGGUACCUGACUAAGAAGCCCCGGCUAACUACGUGCCAGCAGCCGCGGUAAUACGGAGGGGGCAAGCGAUAUCCGGAUUUACUGGGUGUAAAGGGAGCGGAGACGGCUCGGCAAGUCUGAAGGGAAAGGCAGGGGCUUAACCCGUGAAGUGCUUUGGAAACUGCCAGGCUGGAGUGAUGGAGAGGUAGGUGGAAUUCCUGGUGUAGCGGUGAAAUGCGUAGAGAUUAGGAGGAACACCAGUGGCGAAGGCGGCUUACCGGAG